Parelaphostrongylus tenuis is the source of this 71-nucleotide non-coding RNA. Lineage: Eukaryota; Metazoa; Nematoda; Chromadorea; Rhabditida; Metastrongylidae. The record is from the annotation of a GenBank genome assembly.
GUAUUGGUGGCUCAGUGGUGAAAUCCUCGCCUGCCACGCGGGCGACCCCGGAUCAAUUCCCGGCCAGUGCA